Long non-coding RNA from Zea mays, 4685 nucleotides. RefSeq lists it as uncharacterized. The record is from RefSeq and is a predicted model, not a curated record. The transcript has 3 exons. NCBI's taxonomy places the organism in Eukaryota, Viridiplantae, Streptophyta, Magnoliopsida, Poales, Poaceae.
GAAGAGUUUUAGAUGCUUCUUGUUCUGAGAACUGCUCUAGGCCAGUUCACGUCGUGUUCUCCAUGUCGUCCCAUGAGAAUAUAACGAAGGAAACAAGAAGCAUUUUAAUAGAAGUAGCAAGAUCACAGUUCAUAUCAGCAUGACAUUCAUGAAGCCAUCCCGGUUUCUAGGAUUCUUGUUUUGCUCUGUCCAUGGCACGCCACCAACAUUCAUCCCAAAAACUGACAUUUUUUUGCAACAUAAAUCAGGUAAACGAGAGCCCUGGAAAUAGCAGGAAUUAAUUCAGGAAAGUACACGAGUAAGCACCAAGGGUCAAUGAGCUUACCUUAGGAAGGAAUGUCAUGGAGAGAAAUGAAAGGUAGUACAAGCUCUUGUUUAUCUGCUCUGAUUCUUUUUUAUCUGCUCUGAUUGCCAGCUGUCCAUGGUAGCCUAAAGUGUGGUAACUCUAUUUGUAAUGAACCCUAGGUUUUCUUUGAGCCUUCGGAGGUGACCUAUCAGACCUUCAACGACUGCUAUGUCUCCGGUUGCGAAACAGUUCUUGCUUGCACAUUUUUUCACACUGGGGAAUACUUGUUCACCGUGAGAAACGACCUACACGAACAAAAUUUUAGUGUCUGAGUCUGUGACUUAUGUUCCAUAGACUAACUAGAAUCAAGUUGGUUCAAGUGAGCAGCAGCAGAGCUCGGUUUUGUUAUCUAUGUUUGUUGCAAAAUUCAGGACCUUAUCGGCAACAGUGGUGUUAGCUAAAAUUUUUUAUUGGUGUUUCUUUUUUUUGAAGAAAUGGUAGUUGGUGUUUUUAGCCAUUUUACUAGCAGUUGUUUGCUCACAUUGCGCUUGUUUCUUGUACCCAUCAGAUAGGUUUUUUUUGUCUCCAGUUGCUCUACACAGCAAGUCUAUGAGGAAGGAGCAAAAGAAGUUGCUCUUUCAGUUGUCAGCGGAAUUAAUUUAACUAUAUGCACAAGAGAAACAACUUUUUUCUGCCACUUCCAUUUUCGAUGAUGAACCAAUGUGAGCUAACACAUGUUUUGGCAUGCACUUCUUGGCAGCAAGAAUACUUGCCUAUGGGCAAACAAGUAGUGGACUUACACAAUGAUCGAAAGGAUGGAGUAUAGUAUGCUUGACAUCUAUGACUACAUAUAUAAGGUAUAUGCACAUUUUUUACGCUUUUAUCUUUUCUGGUGGAAAAUCGGUAUUUAUUUUUCAAUCGGGAUGUUUAGAUGAAACAAAUACAUAUUAGGCUGUGAAUUUUAGUUAUGUAUGAGUUGUUUGAAGGAGUUCCUGUUUCAACGAUGAUUAGAUUUUAUAUUACCAUUAAGAUGUUUAAUAUUUUAAUUGCAAUGUUAGCCUAUUUUAUUAUAUUAAAGUUUAAUUCUGUUGUAUAUCAAUCUAAUAUUAAAAAGAUUCAAUGCUUUAUGUGGCAUACAUGUCAGUCAUUACUAUUAUUGUCUUGUUCGAAGCUAUUGGAUCCUAGGUUCUCACUUGGUGCUAUGCUUUGCUGGUAACUGGAUACACCUUAUCAUCUGUAAAUUGCGUGAGAAAAUAUAUUUCGUUGUUGGUUUUAUUUAGCAGCAGUUACGUCCAAUAAUCAUGGCUAAUUUUUUUAAUCAAACUCCUUGGCGUCGGCGAGGACCUCUUGAUCCGCAUCUGUGAUGCCAUUGUUGCAUGGUUCAAUUUCAGUAAGCAUGUGUUUGCACUAGACAAGCUUCUGCUUUAUAUGUUGCCAUUUGACCUCGGGGUGAAGGAAGGGGAUGAACUGCGUACGAAUUCUUACGUUCUGGAAAUCUUAAGAGAGACCAGGUUCCCACGGGUUCGUGGUGCCGGUGAAGUUACGUCACCUAAAACAAUCCUUCAGCACGAGUAAGAGACUAUCCGUUUCUUUUAGCAGAUUACAAAUCAAUAUAGAAGCAAACAUGGACUUCGCUGUUUAAUAGCCUAUACACUUAACUGCGAAUUGUAGCCGGAUCAUAUGGCUUGGGGGGUUGAAUUAUCGGAUUGCCCUGUCUUAUUGUUCAGCAAGGGCUCUCGUGGAAAUGCAUAGCUGAAAGCAGUUAUUGGAGAAAGAUCAGGUAAUUUGAUGUCUGCUUUUUUGUUAGCAUAUAUCUCAGUUUUUUCUCUAAAAAUUACUUCCAUUUUUUCAUAUUGUAAUGUUUGCUAAAAGUUGCUUGCUUUUCUAUAGUAACUUAAGUUGGGAUGUAUAGUCGAAUAAUAGCUUUAGGGUUGCCUACUUAUAUCAUGAGGAACUUUACUGCAUCAGUGGUCGUUUCAUAAAGACAUAAUUCCAAAUUUCUGUUUAGUAAGGUUGUUAGGUUACAGUUCAGUUUUUUCAUGGUUUACAAAUGGGUUGUUGAGUGAUAAAGUUCAUGUAGGCUAUGUUUUCCGUGGUUUACAAAUGGGCAUGUGGUAUUUUUCAAUAACUCUCAGCUGACAUGCCAUUGUAUUGUAGUAUAAGAUGUAUGUAUGUGUUGCAGUCGUGUAGCAACUUUUUCCUUAAGCUAUCUGCUUGGUGCUUGCUUUGAAAUUCAGUAGCAUGCUUCUCUAUGAAGCUUACCAAAAAAAGUCAACAGAGCAUGAAGGUCGUGAAUUACUCUGGAACAUUAGUCUUACAGGGCUAACAAGGCAAGUGUUUUCUAGGAAGCAUGUACUAUAUUUUAUAGUGUUGUUGAUAAGUUGCAGAACAAAGCAUAAUAUCUGCAAAAUAGUAGAGAUAAAAUAAAAACAAAAAACAACUUCUAUGUUGUAAAGGGACAGAAAAAUGUUUGUAAAACUGCAGUGAAACAUCAUACAUGACUUUUGGGAAAUUCAAGGAUUUCCAUCCGCGGGAGAAAACCGUUCUGUAUCAUAUAAAUCUGUUUUUGCUCAGGUCGGUGAUUGAAAAUUGAUUUAGGUUUUUGACAUACAAAAAAUAUUACAUCUUACCUUUCCCUGUUUUCAGUUGUGCUACUAUUUUGUUGUGUUCCACUUCGGUCAUGGUUUGUGCAUAUGGACUGCUAAUAUCCUUGUCUUCCUAUUCAAGCAUAAAUCUUAAAAUAUUGCAUUCCUUGAAAUCUGUCAUACUGCCUCCUCCCCUGCUUCUCCAUGCAUUUUGUCAGCAUGCCUAAGAAUUUUUCACUGAUAGGAGCCUUUGGUAGCCCCCAUUAGGUAUGUACUGCAUUGUAGGAUAUUAAUUCCAUCUAUUUUGAUUUUGCACAGCUACGGUCAAAACUAACAAAGCAAGAGGGGUGAAUGAUCAUUUGCUAAUAGAUGCUGGAAUCAGUGGAAUAUUUGAGAAGCUAAUAGUUACAACUUUAAACUAUUAUGAUAUUUAGUUUUUCCUUGGCAUUAUUACUUGGAGAAACUAUUCAAAGCAUCCACUUUGCUUUUGAUAACCAUGAAUUUCUAGGUUCAUGCAAAAUCAUUUGAGUUUGCUAAGUUGCAUUCUAAGAACAUGUAUCAAUAAUGAUUGGAAAUGAAAGCUAAUUUUUUAACGGCGAGGGGCUACUGGAGUUUGCACCUGGUGGUGUGAGCUGCGCACCACCUCCUUCAGAGACAGAUGUCCUGUAUAUGGAAACGGCACGAGUUGGAAGCACUAUAUAUGACACCUCUAUCGCUCUUGUUGAUUGCUGGGGUCAGCAUGUGUCGCCGCUGCACUUGGUGGGCCUAGGGAAUUCUAGGACUCUGGAUUGGUUUGGUGGACAGGGAAAUUUGAAUAGCAAGUGAUUUUCUCUCUAUGGAUCCCAUCUAUUUUCCCGUCCACCAAACCAGCCUUAAGAUUUGUUCUGUCUAGAUAGCACAAAAAUUGUCCAUCUUGCUUGCACCCAUAACACUGCUCUGAACAGAAGAUGCAUGAUUAUCUGCAUGCAUUGAACGACAUACCAUAUAAGUGCCACCAGUAACACAAACUUACAUCUUGGAGACACCUUACUAUAUGAUUUAUGUUGACACAACACACGGGUAUUAUACUCACUUCUUAGAGUUGUUUUCUUGGUGCUGUUUCAUUAGAGAAUAUUGUUUUACCAUCUAGCUAGCUGAGUUGGAAGCCCAAUAAUAUACCAAUAUUCUUUGUUUUUGCCUUUUAAAUAUAACAAUUCUUCAGUUUGUUGGAAUUAACCAGUCAGUGUUUUUUUGUCAUUUAACGAUAGAGGAUGCUCUAGCUCUUUGAAGUGGUUAUUGAUCAGUUAAAACUUACACAACAAUUUAUUUUCGUUCUUACUUGAUAGCCUAAACCUACUAAUUGAUGUAGUGGAACUGUGGAUGGGCAAAGGUUUACUGCAUCUAGAAUUCUGAACUAAACAAGAACACAAAUAGUUUUGUUAAGAAUGCUCAUUCAUUCAUAUACUAUAAAAAUUUCAAACAUGAGGUAGCCAUUUCGGUUGGGGAAAUUGUCAUGCCAGUGUUUUAUGACUUUUAAAUAUUGCGUGAAUGUAUUAUCCUGUAGGUUAGGAUCUUAACCGUACCCUUAAUGCUUCAUACUUCUUGAAGAACGAUGGCCACUUUGUCAUUUCAAUCAAGGUACUCCAAGUUAUUAUUCUUAAUUUUGUAGCAGUUGUUUGAAGGACAGGUCUCUUACGGUGGUGAGAGGACUUUUUGUUGUGUGAAAGGUCCUGCGAGGUGCAACACUUGGGUUCGUCUUGUAGUAGUUGUCAAAUAGUCAUACAAAUAUGCAAUCUUGGUCUACAUUGAUCUAAUCUAACAAGAAAACAUUUUGU